This 253-nucleotide ribosomal RNA is filed under the name uncultured bacterium. RNAcentral describes it as "partial 16S ribosomal RNA". It matches the Rfam family "Bacterial small subunit ribosomal RNA", at positions 524 to 776 of the family's 1533-position model. The record is from RNAcentral.
UACGAAGGGGGCUAGCGUUGUUCGGAUUUACUGGGCGUAAAGCGCACGUAGGCGGAUUGGUCAGUUAGGGGUGAAAUCCCAGAGCUCAACUCUGGAACUGCCUCUAAUACUGCCAGUCUAGAGUCCGGAAGAGGUGAGUGGAACUCCUAGUGUAGAGGUGGAAUUCGUAGAUAUUAGGAAGAACACCAGUGGCGAAGGCGGCUCACUGGUCCGGUACUGACGCUGAGGUGCGAAAGCGUGGGGAGCAAACAGG